CAGGCGGAAGGCGGGUCACUCCAGGCUGCUGCAGUCGUCGUCACUGUCGCUGCUAGUUGUAUCAUCCAGGAUGACCGGUGAAGCACUCGGAGGAGGAAGACUGAACUGCUGGGGACCUGGAAUGUAGAAGAUCAUCGUUAAGCGUACAAUUUGGUGACAUGGGAGGCAAAAGCCAGCUUCUUCCCUCCUCUGCCAAGCCAGUUGAAUUUCAGCGCGAAGUGGUUGGUGAGGAUGUGGCGAAGGAUUCUUCGAACCGCGUCACCAGGAUUGCAGCCCCCAAGCGCACUAAGGUGUGCUGCCUGCAGGUAAGAAUGGAAAGUAAUGUUUUAGAAUAUCUUAUUAUGGCUUAUAGUCAGCAUACCGUUCAAAAUGAACAUCUUUGGUAAUGCGAAAAGUUCA
Gadus morhua (Atlantic cod) is the source of this 399-nucleotide long non-coding RNA. NCBI's taxonomy places the organism in Eukaryota, Metazoa, Chordata, Actinopteri, Gadiformes, Gadidae. The record is from Ensembl.